This 477-nucleotide ribosomal RNA is filed under the name Arthrobacter sp. RNAcentral's name for it is "bacterial SSU rRNA". It matches the Rfam family "Bacterial small subunit ribosomal RNA", at positions 380 to 867 of the family's 1533-position model. The record is from RNAcentral. Lineage: Bacteria; Bacillati; Actinomycetota; Actinomycetes; Micrococcales; Micrococcaceae.
AGCCUGAUGCAGCGACGCCGCGUGAGGGACGAAGGCCUUCGGGUUGUAAACCUCUUUCAGCAGGGAAGAAGCGAAAGUGACGGUACCUGCAGAAGAAGCGCCGGCUAACUACGUGCCAGCAGCCGCGGUAAUACGUAGGGCGCAAGCGUUAUCCGGAAUUAUUGGGCGUAAAGAGCUCGUAGGCGGUUUGUCGCGUCUGCUGUGAAAGCCCGGGGCUCAACCCCGGGUCUGCAGUGGGUACGGGCAGACUAGAGUGCAGUAGGGGAGACUGGAAUUCCUGGUGUAGCGGUGAAAUGCGCAGAUAUCAGGAGGAACACCGAUGGCGAAGGCAGGUCUCUGGGCUGUAACUGACGCUGAGGAGCGAAAGCAUGGGGAGCGAACAGGAUUAGAUACCCUGGUAGUCCAUGCCGUAAACGUUGGGCACUAGGUGUGGGGGACAUUCCACGUUUUCCGCGCCGUAGCUAACGCAUUAAGUGC